This 1450-nucleotide ribosomal RNA is filed under the name Staphylococcus aureus. Its description in RNAcentral is "partial 23S ribosomal RNA". It matches the Rfam family "Bacterial large subunit ribosomal RNA", at positions 1415 to 2862 of the family's 2925-position model. The record is from RNAcentral. Lineage: Bacteria; Bacillati; Bacillota; Bacilli; Caryophanales; Staphylococcaceae.
GCGAUGGAUAACAGGUUGAUAUUCCUGUACCACCUAUAAUCGUUUUAAUCGAUGGGGGGACGCAGUAGGAUAGGCGAAGCGUGCGAUUGGAUUGCACGUCUAAGCAGUAAGGCUGAGUAUUAGGCAAAUCCGGUACUCGUUAAGGCUGAGCUGUGAUGGGGAGAAGACAUUGUGUCUUCGAGUCGUUGAUUUCACACUGCCGAGAAAAGCCUCUAGAUAGAAAAUAGGUGCCCGUACCGCAAACCGACACAGGUAGUCAAGAUGAGAAUUCUAAGGUGAGCGAGCGAACUCUCGUUAAGGAACUCGGCAAAAUGACCCCGUAACUUCGGGAGAAGGGGUGCUCUUUAGGGUUAACGCCCAGAAGAGCCGCAGUGAAUAGGCCCAAGCGACUGUUUAUCAAAAACACAGGUCUCUGCUAAACCGUAAGGUGAUGUAUAGGGGCUGACGCCUGCCCGGUGCUGGAAGGUUAAGAGGAGUGGUUAGCUUCUGCGAAGCUACGAAUCGAAGCCCCAGUAAACGGCGGCCGUAACUAUAACGGUCCUAAGGUAGCGAAAUUCCUUGUCGGGUAAGUUCCGACCCGCACGAAAGGCGUAACGAUUUGGGCACUGUCUCAACGAGAGACUCGGUGAAAUCAUAGUACCUGUGAAGAUGCAGGUUACCCGCGACAGGACGGAAAGACCCCGUGGAGCUUUACUGUAGCCUGAUAUUGAAAUUCGGCACAGCUUGUACAGGAUAGGUAGGAGCCUUUGAAACGUGAGCGCUAGCUUACGUGGAGGCGCUGGUGGGAUACUACCCUAGCUGUGUUGGCUUUCUAACCCGCACCACUUAUCGUGGUGGGAGACAGUGUCAGGCGGGCAGUUUGACUGGGGCGGUCGCCUCCUAAAAGGUAACGGAGGCGCUCAAAGGUUCCCUCAGAAUGGUUGGAAAUCAUUCAUAGAGUGUAAAGGCAUAAGGGAGCUUGACUGCGAGACCUACAAGUCGAGCAGGGUCGAAAGACGGACUUAGUGAUCCGGUGGUUCCGCAUGGAAGGGCCAUCGCUCAACGGAUAAAAGCUACCCCGGGGAUAACAGGCUUAUCUCCCCCAAGAGUUCACAUCGACGGGGAGGUUUGGCACCUCGAUGUCGGCUCAUCGCAUCCUGGGGCUGUAGUCGGUCCCAAGGGUUGGGCUGUUCGCCCAUUAAAGCGGUACGCGAGCUGGGUUCAGAACGUCGUGAGACAGUUCGGUCCCUAUCCGUCGUGGGCGUAGGAAAUUUGAGAGGAGCUGUCCUUAGUACGAGAGGACCGGGAUGGACAUACCUCUGGUGUACCAGUUGUCGUGCCAACGGCAUAGCUGGGUAGCUAUGUGUGGACGGGAUAAGUGCUGAAAGCAUCUAAGCAUGAAGCCCCCCUCAAGAUGAGAUUUCCCAACUUCGGUUAUAAGAUCCCUCAAAGAUGAUGAGGUUAAUAGGUU